RNAcentral lists this ribosomal RNA (253 nucleotides) under uncultured bacterium. RNAcentral's name for it is "partial 16S ribosomal RNA". It matches the Rfam family "Bacterial small subunit ribosomal RNA", at positions 524 to 776 of the family's 1533-position model. The record is from RNAcentral.
UACGGGGGGGGCAAGCGUUGUUCGGAAUUACUGGGCGUAAAGGGCUCGUAGGCGGCCAACUAAGUCAGACGUGAAAUCCCCAGGCUCAACCUGGGAACUGCGUCUGAUACUGGAAGGCUUGAAUCCGGGAGAGGGAUGUGGAAUUCCAGGUGUAGCGGUGAAAUGCGUAGAUAUCUGGAGGAACACCGGUGGCGAAGGCGACAUCCUGGACCGGUAUUGACGCUGAGGCGCGAAAGCCAGGGGAGCAAACAGG